Long non-coding RNA from Piliocolobus tephrosceles (Ugandan red Colobus), 284 nucleotides. RefSeq lists it as uncharacterized. Lineage: Eukaryota; Metazoa; Chordata; Mammalia; Primates; Cercopithecidae. The record is from RefSeq and is a predicted model, not a curated record. The transcript has 3 exons.
AGUUUUAUUUUUAUAGUCACAAAAUGAACAAGAUGUCUGUGGCAACCCUCAGGCCAUUGAUGCCUUCUCUCUUAUGUAUCACAUCACACAUUUGGACUUUGACUGAACUCUCACAUUUCAGAUGCUCAAUCUUGAGGUAUAGUAAAAGGGAGCAUGAACUUGAGAAAAUGCACUUUCAACACAAAGCAGUAAUAAUAUAAGGUCAAAUCAGAUUCUGCCUUGGAGAUAGAAAACUCUGAAGCAAGUUUUGUUUAUUCCAGAAUGUCAUAUAGUUGGUAUAAGGU